CCAUGGAGAUGCCAUCAUGCUGAGAUCAACCUACCCAGACGUCCACUAUCUUGCAAAUCUUACCUGAUGUGCCACCAUCUAUGACAUUGGGCCAGACAGGAGGCCAUUUUACAGAAACUAACCGUACUGUUUUGCGACUUGGAUAUGUCUUUUACAGUGAACAUAUAAGUGGACUUUUUCUGGAAUAAAGGUAUAUUCAUUCAACAAUUAACGCCCAGAUUGCUUCAUUCAGGAGGACUUAAAAUUGCUCACCUUACAUAAACUCAAGGAUAACGCACAAAAGGGAAGAAAGGGGGAUUCCCAUUGAUGAGAUUUGAACUAGAUAAAAUAUCUGAAGACUUUCCUGGGAGAAGAAGAAAAAUAAAAGGAAAAAGGAAAAAACAGUGGGUUGUCCUAAAGGAACCAACUUCCACUGAGCUGGGUAGAGUUCUCUUGACCAAUAGUCGGCUCUGGUUGACUAAUGAGAACAGAAAGGACAUGAUAACACAGCUGCCACAGAAGCAGAGACACAAACCCCACUGCCCUGUCUUCUUCAUCAGUAAUCAAGAUGGUUUCUGAAGCAGAAGGAAGUUCUUCAAGGAACUGCAGAAAUCAUGAAGACAUAUAUGUACAACGGAGGGAGAGAUGAAUUUCAGCAGGAAAGUUCCUGGGGCUACUUCCUGAAGGAUCCUGUAGAUGAACACACACUCCUGUCAAAAUCAAGGCUUCAAAGAGAAAAACUUACUAAGCCAGAACUUCCCCUUCUCUUCGCCACCCACACCCAAGCCACCAUGAAGCAUCACAUGUGAGAACUACAUGUGUAACAGCAAUGUAUGGUACUUUUUCUCUCAUUUUUUUUUUCUGCUACCACCCUGAACCAAGGCACAUAAUUUUGUGCCUGCUUAUGUCCCAAAGGCAAGAAGGACAUCAUCUUGCCAGUCCAAUUCCUUCUUUCUGUCAUAGUAAAAGUGGGUGUAAAAUGCAAAUCAGCUCAUGGUACUCCUCUGCUUCUCAGAUAUUCGGUAAUUAUCUAUUGUGUUUGGAAUUAAAUCUGAAUUCCUUUUAUUGUGGCCUCUAAAUAUGCAUAGUCUGGUAUCUGCUUAUUCUUCCAUCCUCAUCUUAUUAACUUCUUCUUCAUUAUGCCGCAGCCAUCAAAACCGCCCUUAUUGCUUUCUAUCACAACAUAUUUUUCCCACCUCAUGACAUAGUGCCUGUCACUUUCUUUGCCCAAGAUGCAUUACAUUUAGGAUAUGAGAGAUUCCUUCUUAUUGUGCAGAACUCAAAUGUCACCUCCUUAGAUAGACUGUUUCUGAAAAUUCCAUCAAAAAUAUGGUCCUGUUUAUAUCAGUUUCAAUCUCCCAUUCUUCUGCCUGAUUUAACCCCUCAAAAGCACAAGUAACAAGACUCUCAAUGUUUUUUUUUUUUCCAGCUCUGAACUUAUUUACAUUUUGGUUAGAAUUUCUGUCAUUAUUGACUAGAAUUCUGACUUGAAAUAUAGAGUUCCACGAGGGAAUAAAGACUCUGUCUAUAUCUCUGAU
Molecule: long non-coding RNA, 1517 nt
Organism: Mus musculus (house mouse)
Lineage: Eukaryota; Metazoa; Chordata; Mammalia; Rodentia; Muridae
Product: predicted gene, 49212
Exons: 4
Source: RefSeq, a predicted model, not a curated record